AGAGUUUGAUCAUGGCUCAGGAUGAACGCUGGCGGUAUGCUUAACACAUGCAAGUCGAACGGGGUAGUAAUACCUAGUGGCGGACGGGUGAGUAACGCGUAAGAAUCUGGCUCCAGGUUCGGGACAACAGAUGGAAACGUCUGCUAAUACCGGAUGUGCCGAGAGGUGAAAGCUUUAGUGCCUGGAGAUGAGCUUGCGUCUGAUUAGCUAGUUGGAGUGGUAACGGCACACCAAGGCGACAAUCAGUAACUGGUCUGAGAGGAUGACCAGUCACACUGGGACUGAGACACGGCCCAGACUCCUACGGGAGGCAGCAGUGGGGAAUUUUCCGCAAUGGGCGAAAGCCUGACGGAGCAAUACCGCGUGAGGGACGAAGGUCUGUGGAUUGUAAACCUCUUUUGUCAGGGACGAUAAUGACGGUACCUACGAAU
This 431-nucleotide ribosomal RNA is filed under the name uncultured cyanobacterium. RNAcentral's name for it is "bacterial SSU rRNA". It matches the Rfam family "Bacterial small subunit ribosomal RNA", at positions 8 to 487 of the family's 1533-position model. The record is from RNAcentral. Lineage: Bacteria; Bacillati; Cyanobacteriota.